Molecule: long non-coding RNA, 518 nt
Filed under: Physcomitrium patens
Lineage: Eukaryota; Viridiplantae; Streptophyta; Bryopsida; Funariales; Funariaceae
Description: long non-coding RNA (PPAT_LNC004394)
Source: RNAcentral
UUUAGAUUAGGGUUUGGUUAGGAUUUGAUUUAAGGUUUGGUUUAGGGUUUAGGAUUGGAUUAGGGUUUGGUUUAGGGUUUGAUUUAGGGUUUGGUUUAGGGUUUAGGGUUUGAAAUAGGGUUUAAUUUAAUAUUUUUUUAGGAUUUGACUUAGGGUUUAAGAUUUAAUUAGGUUUGGUCUAAAGUUGAGUAAAAUUCAAUAGGGUUUUAACUAGAAUUAAAUUAAGGUUGAAUUUACAUAUAUUUGAGUAAAAUUUGUGAUCAUUCUAAUAUUUCUUUAAGAAUUUUAUUGUUUGUUUGAAAUUUCUUUGAGUUUUUUUGCAUUGGAUUACGUUUGUUUACCAUUAUUAUAGUCUAAUUAGAGCAUUGUUAGUAUUCUAUUUAGGAUUUUGUUAUCUCAAUUUCUAUUCUUCCUUCUACAGCCAGGUGCCCAAAGCAUUCUCAAGCAAGACUUCACACAUUAUGACACCGUACUCUUCAUUUUAUGGUUGUAUCGCUUCUUUGGGCAAUGUUAAGCAG